UUUUCCGUCUCCUUUCUCCACGUCAGCAUUGUGUCUCUCCCUGCGGAACCUGGAUAGAAAAAAGUAGAGAGCGAGAACGCCCGUGUUUAGUCGUGUCGACGUGAUUCGCUUUUGUCUAUUUACAUUACUGGGAUUAAGAGGCCAGUUUCACUAGGCGAUCAAUUAAAUAAAGGGGGGAAUAAUAAGAUUACAUGGUGUAUACAAAUCAUGGGUUAGGUUGAACUUUUGUGAAUUUUUCUGUCCCUCGAUCGUGUGUGAUCGAUAAUCAUCAUUCAGCGGCAGAUUUUUGAGAAGGAUAGAUACGUAUAUAUGCAAAAUAUAUAUAAAUUGAUAUAUACAUAGGUAUUUAUAUACAUUUUACAUAUAUAGUCUUGAUAUUAUUUUUGGUUAGACGAAGAACAGUCGUCCUUUCUUUCUUUGUUCUGCUACUGGUGCCGCUUUUUUUAUUGGUGGCAAAUGAGACAAGUUCGUUCUACUGAGGCUAGAAAAAGGGAGACAGCUCCAGCGGUGUUCACGAGCAACCUACUUUGAUGUGCCUACGGGAUUCGAAAGAAAAUAUUUUCGGUGGUGAUAAGAUGCCGAUAAGACAUACGGGAAAACCUGGCAGCGUCGAUGAACCGAUUGUGGCCUCGUACCUAACAAAAAAAGAAAAAAAAAGAAAAAAGCCAGCUCCUUUUCUCGACGGACAUCCGCUACCUUCCGGAAGAUCAGCUGCACAAAACGAUUCGAUUCCAUUUUACGCGCUUAAAUAAGCAUAAUAACAAGUACACAAGCUCACGAAAGUAUUUCAAUAUCCAUGGAACAUAUUAUGUGUGUUAUAUGAAACAUUUGAAAAUUCCAGACUCGACUAUUACGACUGUAUUGGUAAAGUUUGAGACAAAUCUGAAAAUAUAUGCAGAAAAUUAAAAAAAUAUUUGAUAGAAAUACAUAUUCUGCAGGAGUCACAAAAAUAUUUAAACAGUCGAUUAUUCGCUGUAUUAAUAAACUACACAUAACAGUGAAACGAUCUUUAGUACUAAUUGUAUGUUUAAGACUAUUGUUAAUAUAUUAUUAUAUGCAAGUUUCUUUUUACUAAAUAUAUGUUCGCAACAAAUAUCUUUUUUUAUUAAUUAACUUCUACAUACAUUUUCAGAUUGAUUACAGAUUGGACAAAUAUAAUCGAAACAGUCUUGUCUCAUUACGAUGAUUAUAUAACCUCAAAAUGUUUUACAUAACACGUGCAGUAUAUAAUCCGUUUUAUGUAAUACAUACAAGAUAAACAAGUUCAGAUUGUCUUGAAAUUGUAUCAAUAUAAUCAUGACAGUGCUAUCUCAUUAUUGCGUUAAUGAAAUUUCAAAAUGUUUUACAUAACACAUACGAUAUAUGCAUAACACAUGAUAUAUCUUAAUAUGUCCAUAUAUAAUCCGUUUUAUGUAAUUAAAUGUAUACAAUCUCAGAUUGGUUUGAAAUUUUAUCAAUAUGAUAUUUGUAUCUUAUUAUAAUAAUAAUAAUGAAAUCUCAAGAGAUACGUAUAGUAUAUACAAUAUAGACAUAAAUGUUUUUCAUGAGUAUGGAAUUCGUUAUGGAACGCAGUAUGCUCGGCGUAAUUAAUCAGGAUGAACGACACGGCGCAGUUGGAACGACGAGCGAUUAUUUAUGGGGCCCGGAACAAUUAUUUAUACUCUCGAGUCGCUCCUUUGCUAUUAUUAAUGGUCUAGAACGCGUUGGACCCUUUAUCGGCUUUUUUACACCCCUUGCUAUGUAGGUGACCAUUAUUCGAGUGUUAAUAAUCGUCCUUACGCUUCCACAUCAUAUAUAUAUAAAACUAUCGAAAUAAUCGAAGCAUCCUUAUACAAAACACAAGUGUCAAAAUUAAAAAAUUUUUGCCUCUUUUCUAUUAAAAAAUGUUUUACUUGCCAAUGGGAAUACGUACUGCAGUAUAGUAAAUCAAUCCCUGCACAGAGUAAUCAAACUUGUAUAUUAAGAAACACCAUUAAUCUUCAAUAUAAUAACGAAAGAAUGUCAUGUAUAUACUUACUUUAGGUCCAGAAAGAAAACUAUGAAAAACGAGAAAAUGCUUCCAAUAAUCUUAUGGUAGGGUUAUUUGAGUCAGUAGCGAUAUAUUAUAUAAGUAUCAAUAAAAUAAAUAGCAAAAUAACUUGCAGGAAUAAAAUAAUACACACACACACACUACUGAAUUAUGAUAAUUAAUUUGUUUUCAAACAUAAAUCGCUUAAAAAUUGUUUAUAAACGAAUUUGACGAAUUCAUUUCACCUAAAUAACCCUACUUUUCAAGUACUGCAGUUAACAGUGAUGCUAAUAGAUAGCACGAAUGAGUAAAGAACACUUAAGUGCUAAUUCAAACGAUGUUAAAAUAUGUGUACAUCAAAUAUCACUUGGAAUAUUUUAAAAUACACUUUCGUAAUGCAUUCUACUCGGAAAUGAAAAGAACGUAUUAAAUAAAUAUAUUUUUAAUUUACUAUACUUAUAGGAUUUGUAAAUUUAAAAAUGAAUGACAGAUUUAGUUUUCUUUACAACUAAAAGGUGAUAAAUACAGAGUUCUUUACAAAUAUAAUUUUCCUUUUCAUGAAUGAUGGUGAAUAAAUGUAAAAAAUAAAAAGAUCUCUUAAUACAUUUCUUAUGAUUGUGCGGUUCAGAAGUCACAUUAAUCAACUCCAUCAAUUGAAAAGUACAAGAUAGUGACGAUAUUAAAAACGCCUUUUUUUUAAUUUACCUUGAGAUUUAUCACUAUUCGCGUGAUUUUCUUGCGAUAAGUAAACAGACGGAAGUAUGGGAAUCAGAUAUUAUUCGUAUAUUCAUAUAACAGACUGAAGAAAUUAAUAAAAAGUGGAGUUGAUUAGUUUGGCUUCUGUAAAUGUAUAUCUCUAUCUAUAAAUAAAUGAAAUUUCAAAAUACUAAAGUCAGCUAACUUUUUCUUUUUCUC
RNA transcript from Bombus pyrosoma, 2923 nucleotides. RefSeq lists it as uncharacterized. Lineage: Eukaryota; Metazoa; Arthropoda; Insecta; Hymenoptera; Apidae. The record is from RefSeq and is a predicted model, not a curated record. The transcript has 4 exons.